Molecule: ribosomal RNA, 21 nt
Filed under: Minimedusa obcoronata
Lineage: Eukaryota; Fungi; Basidiomycota; Agaricomycetes; Cantharellales; Hydnaceae
Description: partial 28S ribosomal RNA
Source: RNAcentral
CUAGCCUCGAAUCAGGUGGGA